GACCAAGGAGUCUAACAUGUAUGCGAGUCAUUGGGAAAAACUAAACCCAAAGGCGGAAUGAAAGUGAAGAUCCUUUUAUUAGGGAUAUGAGGAGAGAUCAUGGCUUUGAUUUAUAGUAUUCCGUAAGGUUUAUUGUACAAGGUAUGCGCAUCUCCUGGACGUCUUAACCUUUGAAGGAAGGGCGUACCUAGAGCAUACACGUUGGGACCCGAAAGAUGGUGAACUAUGCCUGGUCAGAACGAAGUCAGGGGAAACCCUGAUGGA
This 264-nucleotide ribosomal RNA is filed under the name Xenylla grisea. RNAcentral's name for it is "partial 28S ribosomal RNA". It matches the Rfam family "Eukaryotic large subunit ribosomal RNA", at positions 664 to 871 of the family's 3401-position model. The record is from RNAcentral. Lineage: Eukaryota; Metazoa; Arthropoda; Collembola; Poduromorpha; Hypogastruridae.